RNAcentral lists this long non-coding RNA (1022 nucleotides) under Homo sapiens (human). RNAcentral describes it as "non-protein coding lnc-FAM196A-3:2". Lineage: Eukaryota; Metazoa; Chordata; Mammalia; Primates; Hominidae. The record is from RNAcentral.
CACGGGUACACACACACACACCCACAUGCACACAGAUGAGCACGGGUACACACACACAUGCACACACACAGAUGAGCACGGGUACACACACGCACACCCACAUGCAGGUACACACACGCACACCCACAUGCACACAAUGCAGGUACACACCCACACCCACAUGCACACACAUGCAGGUACACACACACACACCCACAUGCACACACACAGAUGAGCACGGGUACACACACGCACACCCACAUGCACACACACAGAUGAGCACGGGUACAUGCAGGCACACACCCACAUGCACACACAUGCAGGUACACACACAGAUGAGCACGGGUACACACACACCCACAUGCACACACAUGCAGGUACACACACACCCACAUGCACACACACAGAUGAGCACGGGUACAUGCAGGCACACACACACGCACACACAUGCAGGUACACACACAGAUGAGCAUGGGUACACACACACCCACAUGCACACACAUGCAGGUACACACACACCCACAUGCACACACACAGAUGAGCACGGGUACACACACGCACACCCACAUGCACACACAUGCAGGCACACACACACACACCCACAUGCACACACAUGCAGGCACACACACACACCCACAUGCACACACAUGCAGGUACACACACGCACACCCACAUGCACACACAUGCAGGUACACACACACACCCGCAUGCACACACAUGCAGGGACACACACAGAUGAGCACGGGUACACACGCACACACAUGCAGGCACACACACAUGCACACACAUGCAGGUACACACACAGAUGAGCACAGGUACACACACACCCACAUGCACACACACAUGAGCACGGGUACACACAUACAGACACCCACAUGCACACACAUGCAGGUACACACACACACACCCACAUGCACACACACAGAUGAGCACGGGUACACACAUGCACACCCACACGCACACACAUGCAAGGACACACAGAUGAGCACGAGUACACACACACCCACAUGCACACACAUGCAGGGACACACACAGAUGAGCAC